RNAcentral lists this ribosomal RNA (419 nucleotides) under Artemia urmiana. RNAcentral describes it as "partial small subunit ribosomal RNA". The record is from RNAcentral. Lineage: Eukaryota; Metazoa; Arthropoda; Branchiopoda; Anostraca; Artemiidae.
UUCAACAGGGGUGAAAUCUGUAUACACCAUGAAUUUUUUGAUUAAAGUACCUUUUAGGUGGUCAAAUGACUAGGAUUAGAUACCCUAUUAGUCCACUCUUAAUUAACCUGGGUAGUAGUAUCGAAACCUAAAGAAUUUGGCGGUUUCUAAACCUACUAGAGGAACCUGUCCCAUAAACGACAAUCCACGAAAAAAUUCACCCGGGCUAGUUAUGCAGCUUAUAUACCGUCGUUCAGAGGACUAAAUAAAUAGAUCCUCUUAAAAGCUUAGGCUAAUAAAUCAGAUCAAGGUGUAGCUUAUGCCCGGGAGAGGGUGGGUUACAAUGAAAAUUCAUACGGAAUUUCUAUUUUGUGAUAGAAAAGAAGGUGGAUUUAGAAGUAAGACUUAAUAUACUGAAAAAGGCUCUCAGAAAUGUACAC